This is a long non-coding RNA of Capsella rubella, 1037 nucleotides long. RefSeq lists it as uncharacterized. The transcript has 4 exons. The record is from RefSeq and is a predicted model, not a curated record. Lineage: Eukaryota; Viridiplantae; Streptophyta; Magnoliopsida; Brassicales; Brassicaceae.
AAUUUACGAUAUGUUCAUCGCGUAUUCAUCUCCAUGAUACGUCUUCAGGCCUUCUCAUGGUUUCCCUUUUCUAAACACCUUGUCGACUUUUUGUUUCUUGGUUUAGGUUUGAGUGGUUUACUUGUUUUUUUUCUUAUUUCAGGUUUUGGAUGAUGCUUUUAGCCAUCAGUGAAGGGCUUGGACUUGUUUCUUCUCUGUGCUAUAUGUCUACGAAUUCUGAGUUUAACUUUCAGGUUACCUCGGAUAUGUACACCUUUUUGCCUAGCAGUUGUUUUAUUUAUUAUUGGCUACUGUUGGUCCUCUGCCUCUUUUGUUUCCCAGAUGUUCUUGUUGUGUAGACACAUUCAGAUGAGAGAUGACCCACAAGUUCAGUCACAGCUACUUGGAAGAAGGUGAUCACACGUGAAGAAUGGGAGAUGAAACUAAAUGCUGUAAACUCUGGUGAUGAAUAUUCUUGGGACUGAAGGUUAUGUAGAAGCUGCUGAGAAAUUCCAAAGGGAGUCUGAAAUCAGAUGUAUCCUUUUUUGUGAUUCUGUUGAGUGUUUGUGCCCUCUGUUUGGUUUGUGGAAUUUGAGUGUUUGUUUUCUUCCAGCCGAGUUUGUUUUCAUAUCUUUUCAUCUCCUGCAGAAGGCUGGACAUGUGAUAGAUAUUCAGGUUUUGUUCCUUUUUCCCUCUAAAAUCUGUUGCAACAUCUUUUAUGGAGCAGUGAUGGUUCAUGCCUCGAGUGUUUUGGAAGCGGAAGCGAAGUGAAAGCGACAGUGGGAUCAUAGAUUCGCUUCCAAAACGCCUCUUUCUAUUUGUGAAUUACUUCACGAGAAGUAAGCUUUGGAGUUCCUCACUGGUUGACUCAAGGAGUGAUCUCAUAUUCUACUCGCAGUCAGAUGAAAGAUGAUCAUAACUUCGUUUUAAAUGGGUUUGUACUUAUUUUCUGUCCUUUUCAUGAUGGAUGAUAUGUCUACUAAAGUAGUUUUUGUAUUUGAACAUCUUCAAGUCUGAGCUCCUCUUAUGAAGAAAGCUAGACAUGUUGUUAUUCAGGU